This 304-nucleotide ribosomal RNA is filed under the name Microbacterium bovistercoris. RNAcentral's name for it is "bacterial LSU rRNA". It matches the Rfam family "Bacterial large subunit ribosomal RNA", at positions 1389 to 1706 of the family's 2925-position model. The record is from RNAcentral. Lineage: Bacteria; Bacillati; Actinomycetota; Actinomycetes; Micrococcales; Microbacteriaceae.
CCCACCGGACCCUUCGGGGUUCAUCGGGUGAUGGAGCACGGGACCCCAUCUGGUGGAGUGAGCGUAUUAACAGGUGUGACGCAGGAAGGUAGCCCAUACCAGGCGAUGGUUGUCCUGGUGCAAGUGCGUAGGCCGAGUCAUAGGCAAAUCCGUGACUCAUGCAGGCUGAGACACGAUGCGGAUGAAAAGUGGGUGAUCCUAUGCUGCCGAGAAAAGCAUCGACGCGAGGUUCCAGCCGCCCGUACCCCAAACCGACUCAGGUGGUCAGGUAGAGAAUACCAAGGAGAUCGAGAGAAUCGUGGUU